RNAcentral lists this ribosomal RNA (270 nucleotides) under Halotalea alkalilenta. RNAcentral describes it as "partial 16S ribosomal RNA". It matches the Rfam family "Bacterial small subunit ribosomal RNA", at positions 30 to 298 of the family's 1533-position model. The record is from RNAcentral. Lineage: Bacteria; Pseudomonadati; Pseudomonadota; Gammaproteobacteria; Oceanospirillales; Halomonadaceae.
CGAACGCUGGCGGCAGGCCUAACACAUGCAAGUCGAGCGGCAGCACGGGGAGCUUGCUCCCUGGUGGCGAGCGGCGGACGGGUGAGUAAUGCAUGGGAAUCUGCCCGGUAGAGGGGGAUAACGUGUGGAAACGCACGCUAAUACCGCAUACGUCCUACGGGAGAAAGGAGGGGAUCUUCGGACCUUCCGCUAUCGGAUGAGCCCAUGUCGGAUUAGCUAGUUGGUAGGGUAAAGGCCUACCAAGGCAACGAUCCGUAGCUGGUCUGAGAG